GGUGAGGUGUCCGAGUGGCUGAAGGAGCACGCCUGGAAAGUGUGUAUACGGCAACGUAUCGGGGGUUCGAAUCCCCCUUGGAGUGCAA
This 88-nucleotide transfer RNA is filed under the name Escherichia coli. RNAcentral's name for it is "tRNA-Ser". The stretch from base 8 to 77 matches the Rfam family "tRNA", at positions 8 to 63 of the family's 71-position model. Rfam says of the family: Transfer RNA (tRNA) molecules are approximately 80 nucleotides in length. Their secondary structure includes four short double-helical elements and three loops (D, anti-codon, and T loops). Further hydrogen bonds mediate the characteristic L-shaped molecular structure. tRNAs have two regions of fundamental functional importance: the anti-codon, which is responsible for specific mRNA codon recognition, and the 3' end, to which the tRNAs corresponding amino acid is attached (by aminoacyl-tRNA synthetases). tRNAs cope with the degeneracy of the genetic code in two manners: having more than one tRNA (with a specific anti-codon) for a particular amino acid; and 'wobble' base-pairing, i.e. permitting non-standard base-pairing at the 3rd anti-codon position. The record is from RNAcentral. Lineage: Bacteria; Pseudomonadati; Pseudomonadota; Gammaproteobacteria; Enterobacterales; Enterobacteriaceae.